RNAcentral lists this long non-coding RNA (1591 nucleotides) under Phoenix dactylifera (date palm). Its description in RNAcentral is "long non-coding RNA (PDAC_LNC006944)". Lineage: Eukaryota; Viridiplantae; Streptophyta; Magnoliopsida; Arecales; Arecaceae. The record is from RNAcentral.
AAGCAACAUCUUAUAAAGGUAUAAAUUUGUAGUCUAUUUCUCAUAAAAUUUAAACUUAUGAAUAAAAAUGUUUACAUUUGAACAUGUGUUGGCUUGUCUACCAUAAUUGUAGCAAGACUCUAAUAAAUCUAGACAUUGGUGAAGCAAAAAUAUUAUAUUAUGAUAAUUUAAUAAUUCAUUAUGAAUAUUAAAACUAAUUAAUAAUAUAUUUAUGUUAUUUUUUCUUUCCUCCGGGUCCAAAAUACUUGAAAAGGCUAAGCCUUUAAUACAUAGUUAUAUGUAUAUGGUUUAUCUCAUGACAUAAUGUAAAGAAUAUGAGAACAGCAAUUCUAUACUUAAAUUCUUCACCAUAAUUUGUGACAUUGAUGGUAUGUACGAAGUAAAAGAAUAGUACUUUAUUAAUUAUUUAAUAUUAAUACUUAUAUUUAUAGGAAUUGUAUUAUCAAAUUUUAGCAACUUUAUGCAUAUUGAUCUAGAUAAAAAAAUUAUGGUACAACUCAUGUACAACUUGCAAUAAACAUGAAGGUAUUUGACUUUGCAGAUGCUAAUAGGUGCUACUUUUGACGAAAGAAAAUGCAUCAAUAUUAUUAACGUAAGAAAGUUACAAUCUACUAAAUAUUAAAAGUGCAUACUAAUUAUUUAAUUUUUUAAUUCUAGGUAUCUCAUACGUGUUAAAUAUGUGAUCAUGUUGGAGAACUUUUUUUAACUUUUUUUGUUAGAAAUGUUGAAAUCCUCAUGGAAAAAUCUGUUAACAAACUUUACGAUCUAUACUUGAUGGUAGUAUAACCGUGACAUUUUUUAGUUAAGCAAUAUUUUUUGAUAACAAAUAUAUUAAUAUAGUAUUUUCUGUUUAUAUUAUAGGAGGGCGGACCAAUAGAAUUCGAAGAAUUUGUUAAGAAAUAUAAUAGGAACAACACAUCUUCAUUUUAACAUUCAUCAACAAACAAUACUUCCACAUCUGCAAGGUCUAAAUGGGUUGUAUGUGGCAUAUUGCAAAUGAAUCUGGUUGAAGAAAGUUGUUCUCUUUUACAACUUAUUAUUCGUUAUGGUCAAUCUAACAAAAGGUUAAAACUUUACUAUUUCUUUAUUUGUUCAUUUAAAGCAUGUUACUAAUUUUUUUUCCUAUUUUUUUGUAGGUUGAAAUAAUCAUAAGAUGAACGCUUCAAUCAGAAUGAAAAUAAUUUCUCAAGUUUAAGAGAGAAGGAAUAAAAUCUAUUGCAUCAAAUAAAAAAGAACCGGAUCCCUCCACAUAAGUACAUAUUCAUUUAUCCUACUAAAAAUAUUUAAUUAUUAUGAUAAACAAUUUAUCUUUUUCUAUCAGUGCGAAUCUAUUUAUUAUUGAGAUGUUGAAAAUAAAAAAGUUAAUGAAUAAGAAAUACAUUUCACUUAUACUAUAUUUUUUCAUUCUAUUUUCAAGAUGUUAUGAUUCUCCUAUUAUAUAAAAUUAUAUUUCGAUUUUUACUAUCUCAAUGUGCACGGGUAUCAUUCCCAUGUACAUUGUAUAGCAAGAAACUUUACAAGGGAUUGGUUACAUAAGUAAAGGCAUAAUUAAAAUGAUACGGCAAAGAUAUGCUAGGAUUAUAGAGAUUUG